RNAcentral lists this ribosomal RNA (561 nucleotides) under Geomyces sp. BC9. Its description in RNAcentral is "eukaryotic LSU rRNA". The stretch from base 199 to 352 matches the Rfam family "5.8S ribosomal RNA". Lineage: Eukaryota; Fungi; Ascomycota; Leotiomycetes; Thelebolales; Pseudeurotiaceae. The record is from RNAcentral.
AGGUGAACCUGCGGAAGGAUCAUUACAGUAGUCAUCCGGGUUGCCGCAAGGCCUCCCGGGUAACCUACCACCCUUUGUUUAUUACACUUUGUUGCUUUGGCAGGCCUGCCCUCGGGCUGCUGGCUCCGGCCGGCGAGCGUCUGCCAGAGGACCUAAACUCUGUUUGUCUAUAAUGUCUGAGUACUAUAUAAUAGUUAAAACUUUCAACAACGGAUCUCUUGGUUCUGGCAUCGAUGAAGAACGCAGCGAAAUGCGAUAAGUAAUGUGAAUUGCAGAAUUCAGUGAAUCAUCGAAUCUUUGAACGCACAUUGCGCCCCCUGGUAUUCCGGGGGGCAUGCCUGUCCGAGCGUCAUUACAACCCUCAAGCUCAGCUUGGUGUUGGGCCCCGCCGCCCCGGCGGGCCCUAAAGUCAGUGGCGGUGCCGUCCGGCUCCGAGCGUAGUAAUUCUUCUCGCUCUGGAGGUCCGGUCGUGUGCUUGCCAGCAACCCCCAAUUUUUUUCAGGUUGACCUCGGAUCAGGUAGGGAUACCCGCUGAACUUAAGCAUAUCAAUAAGCGGAGGA